CCCGAAACCAGGUGAUCUACCCUUGGUCAGGUUGAAGUUCAGGUAACACUGAAUGGAGGACCGAACCGACUUACGUUGAAAAGUGAGCGGAUGAACUGAGGGUAGCGGAGAAAUUCCAAUCGAACCUGGAGAUAGCUGGUUCUCUCCGAAAUAGCUUUAGGGCUAGCCUCAAGUGAUGAUUAUUGGAGGUAGAGCACUGUUUGGACGAGGGGCCCCUCUCGGGUUACCGAAUUCAGACAAACUCCGAAUGCCAAUUAAUUUAACUUGGGAGUCAGAACAUGGGUGAUAAGGUCCGUGUUCGAAAGGGAAACAGCCCAGACCACCAGCUAAGGUCCCAAAAUAUAUGUUAAGUGGAAAAGGAUGUGGCGUUGCCCAGACAACUAGGAUGUUGGCUUAGAAGCAGCCAUCAUUUAAAGAGUGCGUAAUAGCUCACUAGUCGAGUGACACUGCGCCGAAAAUGUACCGGGGCUAAACAUAUUACCGAAGCUGUGGAUUGUCCUUUGGACAAUGGUAGGAGAGCGUUCUAAGGGCGUUGAAGCAUGAUCGUAAGGACAUGUGGAGCGCUUAGAAGUGAGAAUGCCGGUGUGAGUAGCGAAAGACGGGUGAGAAUCCCGUCCACCGAUUGACUAAGGUUUCCAGAGGAAGGCUCGUCCGCUCUGGGUUAGUCGGGUCCUAAGCUGAGGCCGACAGGCGUAGGCGAUGGAUAACAGGUUGAUAUUCCUGUACCACCUAUAAUCGUUUUAAUCGAUGGGGGGACGCAGUAGGAUAGGCGAAGCGUGCGAUUGGAUUGCACGUCUAAGCAGUAAGGCUGAGUAUUAGGCAAAUCCGGUACUCGUUAAGGCUGAGCUGUGAUGGGGAGAAGACAUUGUGUCUUCGAGUCGUUGAUUUCACACUGCCGAGAAAAGCCUCUAGAUAGAAAAUAGGUGCCCGUACCGCAAACCGACACAGGUAGUCAAGAUGAGAAUUCUAAGGUGAGCGAGCGAACUCUCGUUAAGGAACUCGGCAAAAUGACCCCGUAACUUCGGGAGAAGGGGUGCUCUUUAGGGUUAACGCCCAGAAGAGCCGCAGUGAAUAGGCCCAAGCGACUGUUUAUCAAAAACACAGGUCUCUGCUAAACCGUAAGGUGAUGUAUAGGGGCUGACGCCUGCCCGGUGCUGGAAGGUUAAGAGGAGUGGUUAGCUUCUGCGAAGCUACGAAUCGAAGCCCCAGUAAACGGCGGCCGUAACUAUAACGGUCCUAAGGUAGCGAAAUUCCUUGUCGGGUAAGUUCCGACCCGCACGAAAGGCGUAACGAUUUGGGCACUGUCUCAACGAGAGACUCGGUGAAAUCAUAGUACCUGUGAAGAUGCAGGUUACCCGCGACAGGACGGAAAGACCCCGUGGAGCUUUACUGUAGCCUGAUAUUGAAAUUCGGCACAGCUUGUACAGGAUAGGUAGGAGCCUUUGAAACGUGAGCGCUAGCUUACGUGGAGGCGCUGGUGGGAUACUACCCUAGCUGUGUUGGCUUUCUAACCCGCACCACUUAUCGUGGUGGGAGACAGUGUCAAGCGGGCAGUUUGACUGGGGCGGUCGCCUCCUAAAAGGUAACGGAGGCGCUCAAAGGUUCCCUCAGAAUGGUUGGAAAUCAUUCAUAGAGUGUAAAGGCAUAAGGGAGCUUGACUGCGAGACCUACAAGUCGAGCAGGGUCGAAAGACGGACUUAGUGAUCCGGUGGUUCCGCAUGGAAGGGCCAUCGCUCAACGGAUAAAAGCUACCCCGGGGAUAACAGGCUUAUCUCCCCCAAGAGUUCACAUCGACGGGGAGGUUUGGCACCUCGAUGUCGGCUCAUCGCAUCCUGGGGCUGUAGUCGGUCCCAAGGGUUGGGCUGUUCGCCCAUUAAAGCGGUACGCGAGCUGGGUUCAGAACGUCGUGAGACAGUUCGGUCCCUAUCCGUCGUGGGCGUAGGAAAUUUGAGAGGAGCUGUCCUUAGUACGAGAGGACCGGGAUGGACAUACCUCUGGUGUACCAGUUGUCGUGCCAACGGCAUAGCUGGGUAGCUAUGUGUGGACGGGAUAAGUGCUGAAAGCAUCUAAGCAUGAAGCCCCCCUCAAGAUGAGAUUUCCCAACUUCGGUUAUAAGAUCCCUCAAAGAUGAUGAGGUUAAUAGGUUCGAGGUGGAAGCAUGGUGACAUGUGGAGCUGACGAAUACUAAUCGAUCGAAGACUUAAUCAA
RNAcentral lists this ribosomal RNA (2208 nucleotides) under Staphylococcus aureus M0625. RNAcentral's name for it is "bacterial LSU rRNA". It matches the Rfam family "Bacterial large subunit ribosomal RNA", at positions 714 to 2925 of the family's 2925-position model. Lineage: Bacteria; Bacillati; Bacillota; Bacilli; Caryophanales; Staphylococcaceae. The record is from RNAcentral.